RNAcentral lists this ribosomal RNA (468 nucleotides) under uncultured bacterium. RNAcentral's name for it is "partial 16S ribosomal RNA". It matches the Rfam family "Bacterial small subunit ribosomal RNA", at positions 28 to 507 of the family's 1533-position model. The record is from RNAcentral.
GACGAACGCUGGCGGCGUGCUUAACACAUGCAAGUCGAACGGAAAGGCCCUGCUUUUGUGGGGUGCUCGAGUGGCGAACGGGUGAGUAACACGUGAGUAACCUGCCCUUGACUUUGGGAUAACUUCAGGAAACUGGGGCUAAUACCGGAUAGGAGCUCCUGCUGCAUGGUGGGGGUUGGAAAGUUUCGGCGGUUGGGGAUGGACUCGCGGCUUAUCAGCUUGUUGGUGGGGUAGGGGCUUACCAAGGCUUUGACGGGUAGCCGGCCUGAGAGGGUGACCGGCGACAUUGGGACUGAGAUACGGCGCAGACUCCUACGGGAGGCAGCAGUGGGGAAUAUUGCACAAUGGGGGGAAGCCUGAUGCAGCAACGCCGCGUGCGGGAUGACGGCCUUCGGGUUGUAAACCGCUUUCGCCUGUGACGAAGAGUGAGUGACGGUAAUGGGUAAAGAAGCACCGGCUAACUACGUG